RNAcentral lists this ribosomal RNA (2786 nucleotides) under beach sand metagenome. RNAcentral's name for it is "bacterial LSU rRNA". It matches the Rfam family "Bacterial large subunit ribosomal RNA". The record is from RNAcentral.
UCAAGCGUCAAAAGGGCAUCCGGGGGAUGUCUUGGCGGUAAGAGGCGAUGAAGGACGUGGCACUCUGCGAUAAGCGCCGGGGAGGCGAGAGCACCCUGUGAUCCGGCGAUUUCCGAAUGGGGAAACCCAUCUCAAUGUUGGCAGGUUUAUGGCGGGUCACCUUGGUGGCGCGCUAUCGGCCUACCAACUUCUAAACGAGAUAUUUCACACUGAAUACAUAGGUGUUGAAAAGCAAACCCGGGGAAUUGAAACAUCUAAGUACCCGGAGGAAAGGACAUCAACCGAGACUCCGUUAGUAGUGGCGAGCGAACGCGGACCAGGCCAGUGGCCAGAGAGUAAGAACCGGAAGCGUCUGGAAAGGCGCGCCAGAGCGGGUGAUAGCCCCGUACGGGUAGAAAUGACGAAGGUCCUCGAGUAGGGCGGGACACGUGAAAUCCUGUCUGAACAUGGGGGGACCACCCUCCAAGCCUAAGUACUCCUUACCGACCGAUAGUGAACAAGUACCGUGAGGGAAAGAUGAAAAGCACCCCGAUAAGGGGAGUGAAACAGACCCUGAAACCGGAUGCCUACAAGCAGAGGGAGCUCUUCGGAGUGACCUCGUACCUUUUGUAUAAUGGGUCAGCGACUUAGUGUUGCGUGCAAGCUUAAGCCGUUAGGUGUAGGCACAGCGAAAGCGAGUCUGAAUAGGGCGAAUUAGUACGUAGCAUUAGACCCGAAGCCGAGUGAUCUAGGUAUGGGCAGGGUGAAGGUGCGGUAACACGCACUGGAGGCCCGAACCGUUGAACGUUGAAAAGUUCUCGGAUGACCUGUGCCUAGGGGUGAAAGGCCAAUCAAACUCGGUGAUAGCUGGUUCUCCGCGAAAUCUAUUUAGGUAGAGCGUCAGACGAAUACUCCAGGGGGUAGAGCACUGGAUGGGCUAGGGGUCCUCACCGGAUUACCAAACCUUACCAAACUCCGAAUACCUGGAAGUACUAUCUGGCAGACACACGGCGGGUGCUAACGUCCGUCGUGAAAAGGGAAACAACCCAGACCGCCAAUUAAGGCCCCUAAGUAAUAGCUAAGUGCGAAACGAUGUGGAGGUGCUGAGACAAUCAGGAGGUUGGCUUAGAAGCAGCCAUCCUUUAAAGAAAGCGUAACAGCUCACUGAUCAAGCGCCUCUGCGCCGAAAAUGUAACGGGACUAAAGUCGUUCGCCGAAAUUGCGGACACGUAAGUGUGGUAGCGGAGCGUUCCGUAAGCCUGCGAAGGUGACCUGCGAGGGUUGCUGGAGGUAUCGGAAGUGAGAAUGCUGACAUGAGUAGCGAUAAAGCGGGUGAGAGACCCGCUCGCCGAAAGUCCAAGGGUUCCUGCGUAAAGCUAAUCUGCGCAGGGUUAGCCGGCCCCUAAGGCGAGGCCGAAAGGCGUAGUCGAUGGGAACACAGUUAAUAUUCUGUGGCCAUGGAGUGUGUGACGGAUUGCGGAAGUUGUCAUCCCUUAUUGGAUUGGGGUGGCAGCCAAACAGUCCCUGGAAAUAGCCCUCCUUUAGACCGUACCCUAAACCAACACAGGUGGACAGGUAGAGAAUACCAAGGCGCUUGAGAGAACUAUGCUGAAGGAACUCGGCAAAUUACCUCCGUAACUUCGGGAGAAGGAGGCCUUGUCUUAGGGCAACCUAAGGCGAGGGGCACAGACCAGGGGGUUGCGACUGUUUAUCAAAAACACAGGGCUCUGCGAAGCCGCAAGGCGACGUAUAGGGUCUGACGCCUGCCCGGUGCCGGAAGGUUAAAAGGAGGGGUGCAAGCUCCGAAUUGAAGCCCCGGUAAACGGCGGCCGUAACUAUAACGGUCCUAAGGUAGCGAAAUUCCUUGUCGGGUAAGUUCCGACCUGCACGAAUGGCGUAACGACUUCCCCACUGUCUCCAGCAUAGACUCAGCGAAAUUGAAUUCCCCGUGAAGAUGCGGGGUACCCGCGGUCAGACGGAAAGACCCCGUGAACCUUUACUACAGCUUCACAGUGGCAUUAACGAUAAUAUGUGUAGGAUAGGUGGGAGGCUUUGAAGCUCUGGCGCCAGUCGGAGUGGAGCCAUCCUUGAAAUACCACCCUUAUUCUCGUUGAUGUCUAACCGCUCCCCUGGAUGGGGACGGGACCCUGUGUGGCGGGUAGUUUGACUGGGGCGGUCGCCUCCUAAAGUGUAACGGAGGCGCGCGAUGGUAGGCUCAGAGCGGUCGGACAUCGCUCGUUGAGUGCAAUGGCAUAAGCCUGCCUGACUGUGACACCGACGGGUGGAACAGAGACGAAAGUCGGUCAUAGUGAUCCGGUGGUCCCGAGUGGAAGGGCCAUCGCUCAACGGAUAAAAGGUACUCCGGGGAUAACAGGCUGAUGAUGCCCAAGAGUCCAUAUCGACGGCAUCGUUUGGCACCUCGAUGUCGGCUCAUCACAUCCUGGGGCUGGAGCAGGUCCCAAGGGUUCGGCUGUUCGCCGAUUAAAGUGGUACGUGAGCUGGGUUUAGAACGUCGUGAGACAGUUCGGUCCCUAUCUGCCGUGGGUGUAGGAAAAUUGAGAGGAUCUGUCCCUAGUACGAGAGGACCGGGAUGGACAUACCUCUGGUGGACCUGUUGUGGCGCCAGCCGCAUUGCAGGGUAGCUAUGUAUGGACGGGAUAACCGCUGAAAGCAUCUAAGCGGGAAACCCACCUCAAAACCAGGUUUCCCUUGAGAGCCGUGGAAGACCACCACGUCGAUAGGCCGGGUGUGGAAGCGCAGUGAUGCGUGGAGCUAACCGGUACUAAUUGCUCGAUAGGCUUGAUCGU